GGCUUACCUUCGUAGGUGAACCUGCGGAGGAUCAUUAAAGUUUGCUUAAUUGCAUUACACAUGUUUUUUUAGAGAACUUGCUUGCAAGAACACUAAUAAUUUACUUAGUCAACAAAUAAAAAUAUCAAAACUUUCAACAACGGAUCUCUUGGUUCUCGCAUCGACUGAAGAACCAACGAAAUGCGAUACGUAAUAUGAAUUGCAGAUUUUCGUGAAUCAUCGAAUCUUUGAACGCACAUUGCGCCCUGUGAUCGAUGAAGAACACA
This 266-nucleotide unclassified non-coding RNA is filed under the name uncultured fungus. RNAcentral describes it as "sequence contains ITS1, 5.8S rRNA gene and ITS2". The stretch from base 129 to 266 matches the Rfam family "5.8S ribosomal RNA", at positions 1 to 132 of the family's 154-position model. From Rfam's summary of the family: 5.8S ribosomal RNA (5.8S rRNA) is a component of the large subunit of the eukaryotic ribosome. Lineage: Eukaryota; Fungi. The record is from RNAcentral.